RNAcentral lists this ribosomal RNA (301 nucleotides) under uncultured bacterium. RNAcentral's name for it is "partial 16S ribosomal RNA". It matches the Rfam family "Bacterial small subunit ribosomal RNA", at positions 509 to 807 of the family's 1533-position model. The record is from RNAcentral.
CAGUCGCCGCGGGAAUACAGAGGGUGCGAGCGUUAAUUGGAUUUACUGGGCGUAAAGCGUGCGUAGGCGGCUUUUUAAGUCGGAUGUGAAAUCCCUGAGCUUAACUUAGGAAUUGCAUUCGAUACUGGGAAGCUAGAGUAUGGGAGAGGAUGGUAGAAUUCCAGGUGUAGCGGUGAAAUGCGUAGAGAUCUGGAGGAAUACCGAUGGCGAAGGCAGCCAUCUGGCCUAAUACUGACGCUGAGGUACGAAAGCAUGGGGAGCAAACAGGAUUAGAGACCCCCGUAGUCCCUGUCUCUUAUAC